CUCAGAUCAUGUAAGAUUUUAAUGAUCGAACAGAUCAAAAUUUUAAACUUUUGCAUUUAAAUUUUAUCUUAAUCCAACAUCGAGGUCGCAAACUUUUUUUUUUAUUUGAGCUAAAAAAAAAUAUUACGCUGUUAUCCCUAAGGUAAUUUUUUCUUAUAAUCAUUAUUAAUGGAUCAUUUAAUCAUUUAUUUAUGUUUACUUUUUAAAAAAAGUUAAUUUAAUUUUUCUAUCACCCCAAUAUAAUAAUUAAUUUUAUUUUAAUAAAAAUUUUUAUAUAAUUUUAAAAUAAAAAUAAAUAUAAAACUCUAUAGGGUCUUCUCGUCUUUUAAAAUUAAUUUAGCUUUUUAACUAAAAAAUAAAAUUCUAAAAAUAAAUAAGAGACAGUUUAUAUUUCAUCAAAUCUUUCAUACAAGUUUCCAAUUAAAAAACUAUUGAUUAUGCUACCUUUGUACAGUCAUUAUACUGCAGCCCUUUAAUAUUUAUCAGUGGGCAGAUUAGACUUUAAAUUAUACCCAAAAAGACAUGUUUUUG
This 531-nucleotide ribosomal RNA is filed under the name Oeneis hora. RNAcentral describes it as "partial 16S rRNA". The record is from RNAcentral. Lineage: Eukaryota; Metazoa; Arthropoda; Insecta; Lepidoptera; Nymphalidae.